AUAAAGCGGUCGCUUUAAUUCGGUUGUUUUCAUUCUGUUGUUUUUGUUCUUCAGAGCAGCAGUGUGACUUUCAGCGCGGAGACUCUCUACAGCUACAGCUUCACCUACAGACCAGUUUACUGCUUUAUUCUCACUGUUUAUUAUCUGUACUCUUUAUAAUUACUCAUUAAUAACUGUUUUAUCUCUAUUUUAUUCUUAUUAACUGUGUUUUUCGCUUUUCUCUUUUCUUUUUUUAAUAGGUUACAGCAGCCGGUGAGGGACACCGCCACCCCGCGGUCGAACAUGGUGUCUCCGAGCAGAGUCUGCCCCCUGGGGGUCAGUAGAAAAUGAUUCAACCCUUUCAGAAUUUAUUUAAUCAGAUUUACUGAUAUGGGUUAAUUACUCACUAUUAAACUAAAGCAUGUCUAAGUGGUAGUUUUAGGUGAGGGUCAAUGGUCAUUUCUGAAGCGGUUUCUCUGAGUAAACACUGUAAAACUGUAAUAUGAGCAGUUGACUAAGCUAAGCUAAGCUAAUUUAAGCUAGGCUAAGCUAAACACGACAUCAUUAUAUAUCAUAUUUACUAUAUUUAAUAACAGUAGCUAUAAGGCUGUGGAGCUGCACAGCCUCAUUUAAUGAUAAACAGAACAAUAGACAUGCUUUAAAUGUAAAUCUCUUUACUUUUUACUUUCCUCUGUCAUAUAGUUUUAAAUGUAUAUAUUGGCUACACAUACUGUAAGUGCAUAUUCAUGCUGAUUUGUUAUGGAUAAUGGUUGUAAUGAUUGUAUAUAUAUUUCUAUUGCAGGUGCGUACUGACCGCUCGGGGAACUCCACCACCCGUCCCCCGGCUUUUGGCUGCCGAAAGGCUUGGGGGAAAUGCAGCAAACGCACGGUGCCCACCUCCCAUCCAGAGCCUGCAGCAAUCCCCAGCAGCCAACCCCCCACCGUCACGACCCCACCCUUCCCUCGGUACACACACUGUAACGUUCUGGUGCCGAUCGCUGUGGCAGAGCUUACCCAGAAGCUGGACUUUGUUGGACCAGAGCCUGAGCUCAUCCCAGGUCCAGCUGCACAGGUAAGAGUUUACAGUUAAUCCAGUAUCAUCUCCAUCUCUCUACCACCUUAAAACGACCGAAGAUCUGAAGAGCUUUAGAAAACCUGCUCAUUUCUUCCUCUCUGAUUCUCCUAGGCUUUGGCCGACCCUGACUGGGAGGUGGGGGACCACGGUCGGGUGGUCAGCGAUGAUGAAGAUGAAGUGGAGAUGUCGAAGGUGAGCGCUCAGUGUUAUUUCACCCAAUUUAGCUUAAAUCUUUAUUGGAAAAUUCUCACAGUUUAGUCUAAAUUCAUAAUUAACAACACUCAAAAAUAAAACUAGAGAUGGAUCAGCA
RNAcentral lists this long non-coding RNA (1364 nucleotides) under Astyanax mexicanus (Mexican tetra). RNAcentral's name for it is "lncRNA (ENSAMXG00005007979.1)". The record is from RNAcentral. Lineage: Eukaryota; Metazoa; Chordata; Actinopteri; Characiformes; Acestrorhamphidae.